UACGGGGGGGGCAAGCGUUGUUCGGAAUUACUGGGCGUAAAGGGCUCGUAGGUGGCCAACUAAGUCAGACGUGAAAUCCCUCAGCUUAACUGGGGAACUGCGUCUGAGACUGGUGAGCUUGAGUGCAGGAGAGGAACGCGGAAUUCCAGGUGUAGCGGUGAAAUGCGUAGAUAUCUGGAGGAACACCGGUGGCGAAGGCGGCGUUCUGGACUGCAACUGACACUGAGGAACGAAAGCCAGGGGAGCAAACGGG
RNAcentral lists this ribosomal RNA (253 nucleotides) under uncultured bacterium. Its description in RNAcentral is "partial 16S ribosomal RNA". It matches the Rfam family "Bacterial small subunit ribosomal RNA", at positions 524 to 776 of the family's 1533-position model. The record is from RNAcentral.